AUGGCAUUUUCGUAGGUUUGCCAAGGGAUAAACCCACAAACCUGCCUUUGUAUAUAAUUAAUCAGGAAAUACUAGACGUGCGCGCCUUCUUUCAAGUCAAUUAAAUAAUAUAAUACAACACAAACACCGUUAAACGCGUAAAGAUGAAAAUAAUGUUUUAUUAGCACUUUCGAUCGAUGACAAACUACAACCAAAAACGAGACUAGCAAGAGGAACGCGUGCGGACACACCGGCGCGAUUAAGACGACUAGACCAACUCGACUUAAGCCGUGUGCGCGUGAUUGUGCACAGGUGCGCAACUCAAACGCGCAACCAAAAAUCAACCUUAAGAGCGACAAAUCAUGCAAAGAAGCGCGAAUAUUUCGCGAUUUUGAUUCCAAUCGCUAAAACCGAACUAACUAGAUCUUGAAAUACCUUAAAAACAAAUAAUAUUUUCCAAUACGUCAUCACGCAACUGAAAUUACUUUAAUAAAUAAUUAUAAUUAUAUAGAACUUUAAAUUCCAAAGAUAAAAUUACUUAAAUUGUCAUUUCUAGAAUGUGAAAUUUUACCUUAAUAACCAUGCGCUAUGGUUAUACACUGGCAGUAAACAAUCGAACACCAAACUAAUCCAAACACCAAAUAUGAAGCAAUUUACUAUUGCAUUAGUUGUAAUCACAUUCGCUUUUUGUAUAAAUUUAAUAGUUACUGAAAAGUAUGGCACCACAACUACAGAACCACCACCGCAACCGUGCGUUUUCUGUGAAAAUCUAACAACAAAAGAAGAAUGCAACGAAAUUGGAAUGGAUCACAGACCACUUACAUGUUUCGUUUGUCCAGAGUGUAUCCCACGGGGCAACCACACAUUAUACUAGACAAAUGGACACAAUAAAACGAAUACAUAUUAAAAAUAAA
Long non-coding RNA from Dalotia coriaria, 893 nucleotides. RefSeq lists it as uncharacterized. NCBI's taxonomy places the organism in Eukaryota, Metazoa, Arthropoda, Insecta, Coleoptera, Staphylinidae. The transcript is spliced from 3 exons. The record is from RefSeq and is a predicted model, not a curated record.